This 403-nucleotide ribosomal RNA is filed under the name uncultured microorganism. Its description in RNAcentral is "bacterial SSU rRNA". It matches the Rfam family "Archaeal small subunit ribosomal RNA", at positions 330 to 735 of the family's 1478-position model. The record is from RNAcentral.
GUGCAGCAGUCGCGAAACCUCCGCAAUGCGCGCAAGCGCGACGGGGCCAUCCCGAGUGCCGCUCGCUGAGGGCGGCUUUUCUCCGGUGUAAGUAGCCGGAGGAAUAAGGAGAGGGCAAGUCUGGUAUCAGCCGCCGCGGUAAUACCAGCUCUCCGAGUGGUGGGGACGAUUAUUGGGCCUAAAGCGUCCGUAGCCGGCUUGACAAGUCUCCCGUUAAAUCCAGCGGCCUAACCGCUGGGCUGCGGGAGAUACUGUCAAGCUUGGGGGCGGGAGAGGCCAGCGGUAUUCCCGGGGUAGGGGUGAAAUCCGUUAAUCCCGGGAGGACCACCAGUGGCGAAGGCGGCCGGCCAGAACGCGCCCGACGGUGAGGGACGAAAGCUGGGGGAGCGAACCGGAUUAGAUA